GGGACGAGCCAUGGCGUUCGUUAUGUGAGUCCGCGACACCGAUGCCAUGGCUGACGGGGGUCGAGAUUUUCCUGUGCCGAACCUCCCACCGAAGGCGUUCUCCGUCAAUCUCGGGGGGUCGAGGACAUCGGCAAUGUUUUCGCUUACGGGAGGCUUGUUUCAGAUGCAAUCAGCACUUCGCAGAUCGUCUAUCCUAGGCCUAGCAUUGUGACUAGCAAUCGGAGAUUGCGUUAAGCUACAGCAUCCACUAUAACCAGUUGUGACAACUUUGCUCGAAAAAACCACCUCCAUUGCCACCACGCCGAAGUGUCUUCUUUGACAAAUGCAACGGCCCUGGUGACCUGUCGUCUGUUCCUCCAGCUCCAUCUUCCACAUCAACUUGGACAAGCUCAGAUUUUCUUAGGCUUAUGCACCAACGAGGCGGAGAA
Molecule: unclassified non-coding RNA, 428 nt
Filed under: Dermacentor andersoni
Lineage: Eukaryota; Metazoa; Arthropoda; Arachnida; Ixodida; Ixodidae
Description: phosphatidylinositol 4-phosphate 3-kinase C2 domain- containing subunit alpha-like
Source: RNAcentral